CUAGUUGGGGGGGUAACGGCUUCCCAAGGCUGCGAUCGGUAGCUGGUCUGAGAGGACGAUCAGCCACACUGGGAUUGAGAACGGCCCAGACUCCUACGGGGGGCAGCAGUGAGGAAUUUUCCGCAAUGGACGAAAGUCUGACGGAGCAACGCCGCGUGCAGGAUGAAGGUUUUCGGAUCGUAAACUGCUUUUCUCGGGGACGAGCAAGGACGGUACCCGAGGAAGAAGCCCCGGCUAACUACGUGCCAGCAGCCGCGGUAAUACGUAGGGGGCGAGCGUUGUCCGGAUUUAUUGGGCGUAAAGCGCACGCAGGCGGUGCGGUAAGUUUGGGGUGACAGUUGUCGGCUUAACCGAGAGAGUGUCCCAAAGACUGCCGGACUUGAGGGCCAAAGAGGAACACAGAAUUCCGGGUGUAGUGAUGAAAUGCGUAGAUAUCCGGAGGAACACCAAAGGCGAAGGCAAUGUCCUGGCUGUCUCCUGACGCUCAGGUGCGAAAGCUAGGGGAGCGAACGGGAUUAGAUACCCCGGUAGUCCUAGCCGUAAACGAUGACCACUAGGUGUGCGGAGUAUCGACCCUCUGCGCGCCGGAGCUAACGCAAUAAGUGGUCCGCCUGGGGAGUACGGUCGCAAGAUUAAAACUCAAAGGAAUUGACG
Molecule: ribosomal RNA, 654 nt
Filed under: uncultured bacterium
Lineage: Bacteria
Description: SSU rRNA
Rfam family: Bacterial small subunit ribosomal RNA
Source: RNAcentral